CUGAGGGGCACCUGUUCCCAUGCCCAGCCCAUUCAGCUGUAUCCUGGGUCCUAAGAAAGGAAGCAGUCUCAUUGGAUCGCUGGCUGUGCUCCCAAGGAGCUCAUUAUGUGACUAGGAGGCUCAUUAAAAUGAGGGACUGAGUGAUGGCACUGCCUAGAGCGAUAUAUCAAGUAAGCAGCUGAUGUGAAAGCCACCUUACUUAGCCAGAGCACCUCAAUCCUGACCUGAGCCUUCUAAUUCCAGGCCUGGGUCCUUCCUAAGCAGAACAUCAGUCCUAUGGGAGAUGCCCUUUCCAGAUUUGCCUCUUAAGCACAGGAAGCAGCUACAGAAGACUGCCUUGAACACUGUGCACACUUGCCUCCUGCUCACGAGUGGCAGAUUUUAGAGGAAGAACAAAGGGCUAGAGACUUACCACCGUUUCCCAACUCUUCAGACCGUUUUUGAAGCUAUAUUGCCUGCAAAGGAUGGCUGAUUUGGACAUUAAAGUUGAUGUAUUGAAAAGACCUGACUUUUGGCGGACAGAUUUUGUUGGGUUAGGGGAAUCAGCAGUGUCAUUCUAGCUACCUUCAGAAAUGAAAUGCUUCAUGACAGCCACUUAGAAUGGUCUAUAUUGAACAUGGCUACCUAGACCCCAAAUUCUGUUCUGAUUUAAAUUUCCUAGUAACAGCAUCGGUUGUCCAGUCAGUGUCUGUAUAAAUGUUAAUAGGAAUUGUGCAUGUAGGGGAAUAAUCCCAGAUGUCUCAUUAAAAUGAAGAAUAUCACCCAGAUAGAAAUAAUCUGACUUUUGCUUCCUGUGCUUAGAUCACAUUUAUGUUGUUAUAUAUAUGCAUGAGGAAAGUGAUAUAUGAAAAGCCAUUUUUAGUUUAAUUCAUGUAAGUCAAUGCAGGCUCUCAUAAAAGUCCAGUCCGUAAAACAUAUGCUGCUUACUCAGCAUUAGCAUAUAAGUGACAGGUUUUUGUUCUGCAUGGGAAGUUAAGCUGACAGUCUUUCCCUGUUCUCUUGUUAUUCCAGGAGUUGCAAGUCAGCACCUUGUGUUGCAAUAGUGCAUGUUGCAUCACUCUAAAGUGCUGAUCUCCUCUGAAAAAUGACAGGAUGGGGCUCCACAUAUAUUUUCUUUCAGUGAUUUUCACAUAAUAUUUACUCUGUUCAUAUGUCAAAAGAUUUUUUUUUUUCGGACCAGAUAUGUGAGCUGAGCCUGGGAUUUGCAAAGCUACCUUGCUCAUCACCAGUGAUAGAGAUUCUUCAGUUAGAACUUAGCUGACAGCUCUGAUGAUGUGAAAGGUAGUGCAGGUCUUGCUAAUGCUAGUAAAAGCUUGUUUUUGUCAGUAACAUAAGAAACGCGUAGCACAGUUGUGCUGAAAAAGGCACAACCGUUUUUAAAACGUCACUUUUCUGACCCAAUCCAACAGCGUUCUAGCACAAAGAUCAGGUCUUCCGCUGGUGUAAAUAAGUGUAGUUUCACUGAGGCCAAUCUAGAAGUGGAGGAUUAUUAUAAUUGUUAUUCGUGU
This is a long non-coding RNA of Dermochelys coriacea (leatherback sea turtle), 1508 nucleotides long. RefSeq lists it as uncharacterized. The transcript has 3 exons. The record is from RefSeq and is a predicted model, not a curated record. NCBI's taxonomy places the organism in Eukaryota, Metazoa, Chordata, Testudines, Dermochelyidae.